This 668-nucleotide ribosomal RNA is filed under the name uncultured bacterium. Its description in RNAcentral is "bacterial SSU rRNA". It matches the Rfam family "Bacterial small subunit ribosomal RNA", at positions 111 to 794 of the family's 1533-position model. The record is from RNAcentral.
UAACGCGUGGGUAACCUGCCUUACACUGGGGGAUAACACUUAGAAAUAGGUGCUAAUACCGCAUAAGCGCACGAAGCCGCAUGGAUUUGUGUGAAAAACUCCGGUGGUGUAAGAUGGACCCGCGUCUGAUUAGCUUGUUGGCGGGGUAACGGCCCACCAAGGCGACGAUCAGUAGCCGGCCUGAGAGGGUGGACGGCCACAUUGGGACUGAGACACGGCCCAAACUCCUACGGGAGGCAGCAGUGGGGGAUAUUGGACAAUGGGGGGAACCCUGAUCCAGCGACGCCGCGUGAGUGAAGAAGUAUUUCGGUAUGUAAAGCUCUGUCAGCAGGGAAGAAAGAAAUGACGGUACCUGACCAAGAAGCCCCGGCUAACUACGUGCCAGCAGCCGCGGUAAUACGUAGGGGGCAAGCGUUAUCCGGAAUUACUGGGUGUAAAGGGAGCGUAGACGGUUAAGUAAGUCUGGAGUGAAAGGCCGGGGCCCAACCCCGGGACUGCUCUGGAAACUAUUCAACUUGAGUGCAGGAGAGGUAAGCGGAAUUCCUAGUGUAGCGGUGAAAUGCGUAGAUAUUAGGAGGAACACCAGUGGCGAAGGCGGCUUACUGGACUGUAACUGACGUUGAGGCUCGAAAGCGUGGGGAGCAAACAGGAUUAGAUACCCUGGUAGU